UACUAUCAAAGCUUGUGACCACUACUAAAUUAUGGAACCACUAGUAGGAUACGGAUGAUCACUGCUCUUAUAGAGCAUCUACUAUAAUUAAGAUAGUUAGUUUGUAAUGAAAGGCUAUGUCAAACACCCGUAGUGCUCCAAGAUUUAUUUCUUUUUUAAAACCCGGCCUCUGCAUCAAUUCUCUAAGAUCACAUGCCAAAAUCAUAUCAAUUCUUUACAUAAGAACCCAUCUAAUUGAUCACUUGCAUACAUGCUCUAAGAAGGAUU
Molecule: long non-coding RNA, 267 nt
Filed under: Hordeum vulgare
Lineage: Eukaryota; Viridiplantae; Streptophyta; Magnoliopsida; Poales; Poaceae
Description: long non-coding RNA (HVUL_LNC006284)
Source: RNAcentral